This 1293-nucleotide long non-coding RNA is filed under the name Salvator merianae (Argentine black and white tegu). Its description in RNAcentral is "lncRNA (ENSSMRG00000002440.1)". The record is from RNAcentral. Lineage: Eukaryota; Metazoa; Chordata; Lepidosauria; Squamata; Teiidae.
CUUUUCAAGAUAUUCAGCCAAAUUCAGAUGAAUCAUCACUGCCUAUCAUAGCAAUGAAAUACGCAGAUACACCCAUAGAUCCACAUCCCAGCAUCAAAAGAAGAAAUGAAACAAGAACAAAGGACUUAGCAGGCAAAUGGAAUGAUUCAGAGACUGCCUCAAGAACCCAUGAUGAGCAGGAACUGAGGAAUGAUUCUUAUCAUCUGUCAGAAGGACGAAGGAGAAAAAGCAAGUCCACAGCAGAAGCCCCACAGAUCAGAAAUGUCCGGUCCAAUUUCUGCAAUCUGUUUUAAUCAACAUCUGAAUGUUAAAGUUGAAGAGUACAAGUGUCCUUUUGUCAUGUUAUGUUUUUGCUGUGAUUCUUCUGGAGUUCUGACAUCAUGUACAGUGUGUGCUCUGAAACUGGUUGUAGCAAUAAUGAGAUGAGUGCUGACAUUUCCAUGCCCUAUGGUGUCUGAAUAUGUCACAUUUAGCUGUUUAAGAGAUUGGGUGUUAUUUCUUGUCUUAUCCUAAAGUGUGUACUGUUUGCAUUCCAUAAAGUUCAGCUAUAAACUUGAGCCCUGUAAUGAUGCUAAGGAUUCUGACAGAAGAUGAACUCAAGAGGGAGAAAGGACGUUCCUGGUAAUAUCACCACUAGUAAUAUUAAAACAACAACAAGCCCAGAACAGACCUAAAUGUCAGAAUGAAGGUCUGCCUGGUGCAAGGAGCCUGGCAUCUUUUCACCAGGCUCUCAAACGCAGCCUUGAAAGUGCCCAUUUCUGAGUCCCCUGCUAAAAAAGCUCCAGCCGGGUAGCUGGCCAGGCUGGGCUGCUGUAAUGCAGACCACGCUUGUCCUUCACUGCUAGCCUCUCCUCCAGUCUUAGCUAUUUUGCUCCAUCUGACCCAUAAUAGACUCUGCAUGUCAUUGGAUAAUGUACUUUGUGCAGAAGUUGCCCAAGAAUCUUCAGUGACCCUUGCCUGAUCCUGUAGUGGUUGAGUGCAAUGAGUUGAAGUUGAGAGGUCCAGGCUUGUUUCUUCUUCAGAAUGAGAGGAAGAGGAUCUGAGUCUGGAGUGGGUUCUGAAAUUGUGAAGGUAUCUCAGAACAUGGUGUUAAGAAGGCAUCCCUUUCAGAUUCCUUUCCUGAUGAAAGACAACUGAGUCCCUGAGAUAAGAUGGACUAAAAUUCUGACCUAUUUAUGCUAAUCAUGGUUAUGGAGAUAGAUGUAUCUGCGUAGGGUUCUGAAUUUGGACUUGACUGAAAUGGCCCUAAGGAGAAUCUCUUAACUAUGAAUGCUUUAAAAGGACUGGACAGUC